UACGUAGGGUGCGAGCGUUAAUCGGAAUUACUGGGCGUAAAGUGUGCGCAGGCGGCUUCGCAAGUCGAGUGUGAAAUCCCCGAGCUUAACUUGGGAAUUGCGCUCGAAACUACGGAGCUGGAGUGUGGCAGAGGAAGGUGGAAUUCCACGUGUAGCGGUGAAAUGCGUAGAGAUGUGGAGGAACACCGGUGGCGAAGGCGGCGACCUGGUCCUUGACUGACGCUGAGGCGCGAAAGCGUGGGGAGCAAACAGG
Molecule: ribosomal RNA, 253 nt
Filed under: uncultured bacterium
Lineage: Bacteria
Description: partial 16S ribosomal RNA
Rfam family: Bacterial small subunit ribosomal RNA
Source: RNAcentral